UGCCAGGUGAAUGAAGUUAGCCCCUCAAAAAAAUUUUUUUUUCCUGUUUUCUACUUAUUUUCUAUUAAUUCGUUUGUUCAUCAUUUGUUCUUGAUUGUUCACUGUUAAUAAUUGUUUGUUCCCCAUUUAUUUAUUUUUAAAAAAAUAUUAAAAAUAUAUCUAAAAGUUAGCCCCUCGAUUGCAAUCUUUAAUAUUUUUUCGUCCUUAAUUACUCGUAAAUAUUCAUUUUCGAUUGUUCUUAUAUAAAAUACGUUUGUUCUCUUUCGAAAUUACUCAUUUUUUGUUUAAUUAAUUGUAUUAGUUGAAUAAAUGUAUACAAAAUAUGUGUACUGCGCAUGCCAUAAGUGUAUAAUCUAUGGCGCAUGCGUCAACUAUAAUGCCUAAACUUUCUACGCGGUUUUAAUCGUGAAAAAAAAAACAAUUAUAAAUCCUGAAGGAUCAAUUAAUUGGUAUACAGUUUAAUUAAAAAAAUUAAAAACAAAAUAAAUAAAAUAAUGUGCAUUCGCGUAAAGUUAGACCAAAUACAUUUUUUCCAUCCUCCUAUAUACCUAUCGCUAUGAAGGUAUAAAAAAGAUAGGUUUAAGAGUUCACAUAGGUAAUAUAAACAAAUAAGUAAAUAUGUUCAUUAUUUAUCUUUCAAGAGAUAAUGUAGGUAUACAUUAUAAUAACAUUUUGACACAGUCGAAAUUAUAUUCCUAACAUUAGUAAAAUAACAUUUUAAUAUUUUUUUUAUAGGUUAUGUAUUGAAAUUGUUGGAAAAUUAUUUCAUGUUUUAGCUGGAAAACUACAUGGAGAAUUAUAUGCAAUACAAGAUAAUGAGCUCCAUCAAAUGAAUUCGAAUGAAACCAAACUGUUUACCAUCCAAAUUCGAUUGUCGGGCAGAUAGAAAACGAAAAUUCACUCAUAGUGAACCUCGGCCUGCAUUUGUGAAACGGCAAAGACUCACUAUUAUCAAGGAAAUUGAAGAGACGACUAAAAAUGAGAUGUGUCGUAUUAUUAUACCUUUGCCAUCUUGUAGUCAAGAUGUCCAGCCACUUGAAAAUAGGUGUAGUAAUGACAAAGCUAUCCAAGUAGCUCCAGCACAGGAACACAAAGGCAAGGCAAGUGUGUAUUGCCACAUCACCCCUUAAUAUAUCUGAAGCAAGUAUAAGUAAACAAUCAGAACCAGCAAAAAAAAAACUGUUGUUCCUGAGGACAAAUUUAACAGUGAUGAGUCAAAUGCACCAGCAACAGAAGGAUCAACUGUUGACUAUGAGUUAUCUCUCUAUAUCUCCACUCCAUCAAAGACUUGUGCACUUCAGACUAUAGCUCUCAAGAAGACUAAAAAAUUGAAAAAAUGAAUGUGUUAACAACUUUAUCUAAAGUGAAAAAUAAACAAUGUUUAUAUAUUGGUCUUCCACAAGAAUUAUGUUUCAUAAUAGGCUUGAUUGAGAAACAUACAAAUGUUUCUGAACAAAAUAUUAUAUUAUGUCUGAUGAGAAUAACAUUAAAUAGAACAUUCUCUCAAUUGGCUGAUGAUUUCGAUUUAUCUGUAAGUCAAGCAAGCAAUAUAUUUUUCAACAAACUCCCAGAAAUUGCAAAUGUAAUAUCACCCCUUGUUAGACUAUAAAAAAAACAAUACAAUAAAUAUUUAUGCAGGAAGGAUAAUUGAUGUCAACUUGGUGGAAAAUAGAAAGUUUUUAGAUAGUUUGCCACCUACAAAACUCUUUAAUUAAAUAAGUAAUCCUUACUUAUAAAUAGGAAGUUUUGUAAGUAUUUUCACUCUUCAUUCAAAAACUACUGAACAGAUUUUAAUAAGACUUAUGCUGGUCUUCUAUGGCUAGCAACUCAUUAUUAUUUUGAUUCUGUUUUCCACAAAUGUGCUAAAUAUGGGCUUAUAUAUAUGAAAAGGAAUAAAUAUUAAUGUUAUGUAACCUUUGUACCUGUAUGUUAAGAAUAAUUUUUAAUAAAACAUAAUUUAAAUUGAAA
Long non-coding RNA from Bombyx mori (domestic silkworm), 1968 nucleotides. RefSeq lists it as uncharacterized. The record is from RefSeq and is a predicted model, not a curated record. The transcript has 2 exons. NCBI's taxonomy places the organism in Eukaryota, Metazoa, Arthropoda, Insecta, Lepidoptera, Bombycidae.